Non-coding RNA from Cavia porcellus (domestic guinea pig), 65 nucleotides. NCBI's taxonomy places the organism in Eukaryota, Metazoa, Chordata, Mammalia, Rodentia, Caviidae. The record is from Rfam.
AUUUAGCUCAGCGGCAUAAGCACCUGCCUUGCAAGCAGGUGGCUGUGAGUUCGAACCCCGGUAAU